GACGAACGCUGGCGGCGUGCCUAAUACAUGCCAGUAGAACGCUGAAGGAGGAGCUUGCUUCUCUGGAUGAGUUGCGAACGGGUGAGUAACGCGUAGGUAACCUGCCUGGUAGCGGGGGAUAACUAUUGGAAACGAUAGCUAAUACCGCAUAAUAGUAGAUGUUGCAUGACAUUUGCUUAAAAGGUGCAAUUGCAUCACUACCAGAUGGACCUGCGUUGUAUUAGCUAGUUGGUGGGGUAACGGCUCACCAAGGCGACGAUACAUAGCCGACCUGAGAGGGUGAUCGGCCAAACUGGGACUGAGACACGGCCCAGACUCCUACGGGAGGCAGCAGUAGGGAAUCUUCGGCAAUGGACGGAAGUCUGACCGAGCAACGCCGCGUGAGUGAAGAAGGUUUUCGGAUCGUAAAGCUCUGUUGUAAGAGAAGAACGAGUGUGAGAGUGGAAAGUUCACACUGUGACGGUAUCUUACCAGAAAGGGACGGCUAACUACGUG
Molecule: ribosomal RNA, 495 nt
Filed under: uncultured bacterium
Lineage: Bacteria
Description: partial 16S ribosomal RNA
Rfam family: Bacterial small subunit ribosomal RNA
Source: RNAcentral